RNAcentral lists this ribosomal RNA (150 nucleotides) under uncultured Piloderma. RNAcentral describes it as "5.8S ribosomal RNA". It matches the Rfam family "5.8S ribosomal RNA". Rfam says of the family: 5.8S ribosomal RNA (5.8S rRNA) is a component of the large subunit of the eukaryotic ribosome. It is transcribed by RNA polymerase I as part of the 45S precursor that also contains 18S and 28S rRNA. Functionally, it is thought that 5.8S rRNA may be involved in ribosome translocation. The record is from RNAcentral. Lineage: Eukaryota; Fungi; Basidiomycota; Agaricomycetes; Atheliales; Atheliaceae.
CAACUUUCAACAACGGAUCUCUUGGCUCUCGCAUCGAUGAAGAACGCAGCGAAAUGCGAUAAGUAAUGUGAAUUGCAGAUUUUCAGUGAAUCAUCGAAUCUUUGAACGCACCUUGCGCUCCUUGGUAUUCCGAGGAGCAUGCCUGUUUGA